This is a long non-coding RNA of Ostrea edulis (European flat oyster), 1850 nucleotides long. RefSeq lists it as uncharacterized. NCBI's taxonomy places the organism in Eukaryota, Metazoa, Mollusca, Bivalvia, Ostreida, Ostreidae. The transcript is spliced from 2 exons. The record is from RefSeq and is a predicted model, not a curated record.
AAAAAUGGUAAAGUAGAACGUUUCAGGGACUGUAACGCAAAAGUUUUUUUUUCUUCUGUUAGUACAAUUUAAUUAGCAUGUAUCGAUUAUAACACAACACUUCUUUUUUUACAUGUACUAACGGCAAAUAAUCGUAGAUGCACAAUUUAUACAUUUGUACAUAUAAACAUGCCAUGAUACAAUUCGAUAUAUUUGGAGUAUAGGAUGCAUAAUAUGAGUAUGUUAAAAACUGAAAAUCAAAGUUUCACAUUAUAUCCCCUAUAUCUGUAUGUGGAUCAUAUAACACAUCAAUGUUAAUCAGACAGGAAAUAAAAUGCGCACCGAACUUGAACUGUUUUGUACUCCUAUGAUUGAAGUGGCAUUUGUUUUAAAUUCUAGCAUUUUUUAUUAUUACUUCCUUUCAAAAUGGUAUAAAUUUGUUACAUUUUUUUUUUGUUUUUCACUACCGCACAUAUUAAACUAUGGAUUCUGGAGCUCUCCCCAUCGUACUUCUGUGUAUUAUCUGCCUCCAAUCCAGUGUCACUUGUCAGGAAUACCGAGGCUGGUCCAACUGUCCUCCUGGGGCAAUUGAUUGUGGAUGGCAACCUAACCCCUAUCCUCAACCUAACCCCUAUCCACAGCCCAACCCCGGAUGUCUCCCCCCAUUAUGCCACGUGGAUCCCAUCCCACAACCUCCGGUUAACAGACGGAAUAUCCGAUUAGGAGGACACCCGUGGCAGGGAUACAGGGGAUGAUAGAAAUGAAGGACCACCUAGGAUAAAAUUUCAUUAAAUCGAAGAGGAAGAAAAAGGUAAGCCGGUUGUACAGAUAUGGGUUUUACAUGCACACUGAUUUUGACUAUGGAUAACUCCGUUUACCUGAUCAAGAUAUAGGGCUCACCGCGGGUGUGACCGGUCGACAGGGGAUGCUUACUCCUCCUAGACACCUGAUCCCACCUCUGGUGUAUACAGAGGUCCGUGUUUGUCCGACCCUCUGUUUUGUAUUGCUUAGAGGAGUUAUGAGAUUGAUCACUGUUGGUUAUCUUCACCUUUCUUGCAUAUACAUGCACACGAUGAUGAAAGGGAAUAUGGUUGUUUUUUUAAAAAUUCAUUUAUUUUUUAUGUUUUGCAAAUAAGUAAUGCGAUGCACGAAAGAUGAUUGUAUAAAUAUCGACUAUGUAGACUUCCGAAUGAACAAUUUUUCACACAAGUAUAUUGUGUAUUAAUGAACUGGUUUUCUUUUUUAUUGUUUCAGAUUCAGUGGUCCACUAUGUGGUUUUUUACAUGUAGAAUGUCAAUUAUCUAAUAAAUUAUGAAACAAGAACCUUUUCCUUUAUGAUUUCUAUAGAAAGGAUACAUUCUGCAUGCAGCGCAUUUAUCUAUUUCUGAUAUCAGUUGAAUAUAGAAAUGUUCACUCCAAUUGUGGAUAUGUCUUAACGUUAGACAUUUGAGGAAACUUUCGUCUUUUACGAAUUGAAUAUCAACAUUAAUUAUGCACAUCGAAUAGUAAAAUGUAUGUAUCCAGUGCGUUGUGAAGUCAGUUGGCUAUGACAAGUCGGGUCUAUCAUUUCACUUGGGUUGUUACAAGUUGUCAGUUUAUUGUUUUAUUUGAGCUACUUAGGAAAAGUAAAAGUACGGGGAGGAGGAAAAAGAGGAAUUUCCACACCGAUAGAACCUUUCAUGAAAAAGGUAGAGUAAAAUUUCCAAUGGAGACCAGGAAAGGGAACUGCAGCUGUUAUUGAUACCCCUCAUCACGCCCCAGCAGGAAACAACAGAGUGUAUCAAACAAUCGUGGAGACACCCCCGUUCAACUGGACAAUCAACCCUUUAAGUAGCACCCAUUCCAGAGGAGGCUUCAUCUCAUCAAGAAAA